GAUGAACGCUGGCGGCGUGCUUAACACAUGCAAGUCGAACGGAAAGGCCGAAGCUUGCUUCGGUACUCGAGUGGCGAACGGGUGAGUAACACGUGGGUGAUCUGCCCUGUACUUCGGGAUGAGCUUGGGAAACUGGGUCUAAUACCGGAUAUGACGAUCUCUUGGAUGGGGUUGUGGAAAGCUUUUGCGGUAUGGGAUGAGCUCGCGGCCUAUCAGCUUGUUGGUGGGGUAAUGGCCUACCAAGGCGUCGACGGGUAGCCGGCCUGAGAGGGUGUACGGCCACAUUGGGACUGAGAUACGGCCCAGACUCCUACGGGAGGCAGCAGUGGGGAAUAUUGCACAAUGGGCGCAAGCCUGAUGCAGCGACGCCGCGUGGGGGAUGACGGCCUUCGGGUUGUAAACUCCUUUCGCAAUCGACGAAGCCUUUUGGUGACGGUAGGUUGAGAAGAAGCACCGGCUAACUACGUG
RNAcentral lists this ribosomal RNA (468 nucleotides) under uncultured bacterium. RNAcentral's name for it is "partial 16S ribosomal RNA". It matches the Rfam family "Bacterial small subunit ribosomal RNA", at positions 28 to 507 of the family's 1533-position model. The record is from RNAcentral.